Molecule: ribosomal RNA, 492 nt
Filed under: uncultured bacterium
Lineage: Bacteria
Description: partial 16S ribosomal RNA
Rfam family: Bacterial small subunit ribosomal RNA
Source: RNAcentral
AGUGAACGCUGGCGGUAGGCCUAACACAUGCAAGUCGAACGGCAGCACAGUAAGAGCUUGCUCUUACGGGUGGCGAGUGGCGGACGGGUGAGGAAUACAUCGGAAUCUACUUUUUCGUGGGGGAUAACGUAGGGAAACUUACGCUAAUACCUCAUACUACCUACGGGUGAAAGCAGGGGAUCUUCGGACCUUUCGCGAUUGAAUGAGCCGAUGUCGGAUUAGCUAGUUGGCGGGGUAAAGGCCCACCAAGGCGACGAUCCGUAGCUGGUCUGAGAGGAUGAUCAGCCACACUGGAACUGAGACACGGUCCAGACUCCUACGGGAGGCAGCAGUGGGGAAUAUUGGACAAUGGGCGCAAGCCUGAUCCAGCCAUACCGCGUGGGUGAAGAAGGCCUUCGGGUUGUAAAGCCCUUUUGUUGGGAAAGAAAAGCAGCAGGUUAAUACCCCGCUGUUCUGACGGUACCCAAAGAAUAAGCACCGGCUAACUUCGUG